This 403-nucleotide ribosomal RNA is filed under the name Simulium (Trichodagmia) sp. S_Tric257_COLucu. RNAcentral describes it as "partial 16S ribosomal RNA". Lineage: Eukaryota; Metazoa; Arthropoda; Insecta; Diptera; Simuliidae. The record is from RNAcentral.
GCGCCUGUUUAUCAAAAACAUGUCUUUUUGGUUAUUUAAUAUAAAGUCUGACAUGCCCACUGAAUUUUUAAAGGGCCGCAGUAUUUUGACUGUGCAAAGGUAGCAUAAUCAAUAGUCUUUUAAUUGGAGGCUGGUAUGAAUGGUUGGAUGAGAUACAAGCUGUGUCAUAAAAAUUAUUUAUUGAAUUUAACUUUUUAGUCAAAAGGCUAAAAGGAUUUUAAAAGACGAGAAGACCCUAUAGAGCUUUAUAUAAUUAAUAUUUAAUUUAUUAAGAUUUAUUAAAUUUAAUUAUUUUAUUAUAUUUUGUUGGGGUGACAAUAAAAUUUAUUAAACUUUUAUUUUUAUUUAACAUUCAUUUAGGGCUAUAUGAUCCCGUUUUAUUGAUUAUAAAUUUAAGUUACCU